This 215-nucleotide ribosomal RNA is filed under the name uncultured bacterium. Its description in RNAcentral is "partial 16S ribosomal RNA". It matches the Rfam family "Bacterial small subunit ribosomal RNA", at positions 309 to 526 of the family's 1533-position model. The record is from RNAcentral.
CACACUGGCACUGCGACACGGGCCAGACUCCUACGGGAGGCAGCAGUAAGGAAUAUUGCGCAAUGGGCGACAGCCUGACGCAGCGACGCCGCGUGGGGGAUGAAGGUCUUCGGAUUGUAAACCCCUUUCGGGAGGGAAGAUGGAACGGGCAACCGUUCGGACGGUACCUCCAGAAGCAGCCACGGCUAACUUCGUGCCAGCCGCCGCCGUAACAC